AGAUUCAAACAAGCAAACUCGAGAGUGGUAGAGGUCACUGGAAUUUCUUGUGUAGGAGUGAAAUCCGUAGAUAUAAGAAGGAACACAGAUGGCGUAGGCAGGUGACUGGACCAUUUCUGACGAUAAGGCACGAAAGCGUGGGGAGCGAACCAG
Molecule: ribosomal RNA, 153 nt
Filed under: uncultured Candidatus Saccharibacteria bacterium
Lineage: Bacteria; Candidatus Saccharimonadota
Description: partial 16S ribosomal RNA
Rfam family: Bacterial small subunit ribosomal RNA
Source: RNAcentral